This 468-nucleotide ribosomal RNA is filed under the name uncultured bacterium. RNAcentral's name for it is "bacterial SSU rRNA". It matches the Rfam family "Bacterial small subunit ribosomal RNA", at positions 25 to 507 of the family's 1533-position model. The record is from RNAcentral.
CAGAAUCAACGCUGGCGGCGUGCCUCAGACAUGCAAGUCGAACGAUUAAAGCUCUCUUCGGAGAGUGUAUAGAGUGGCGCACGGGUGGGUAACACGUAAGUAAUCUACCCUCGAGUGGGGAAUAACAACCGGAAACGGUUGCUAAUACCGCAUAAUGCAGCGGCACCGCAAGGUGACAGUUGUUAAAGAUUUAUCGCUUGAGGAGGAGCUUGCGGCAGAUUAGCUAGUUGGUAGGGUAACGGCUUACCAAGGCUACGAUCUGUAACCGGUCUAAGAGGACGGUCGGUCACACUGACACUGAAUAACGGGUCAGACUCCUACGGGAGGCAGCAGUCGGGAAUUUUGGGCAAUGGGCGAAAGCCUGACCCAGCAACGCCGCGUGAAGGAUGAAGUAUUUCGGUAUGUAAACUUCGAAAGAAUAGGAAGAAUUAAUGACGGUACUAUUUAUAAGGUCCGGCUAACUACGUG